Molecule: long non-coding RNA, 1021 nt
Filed under: Heterocephalus glaber (naked mole-rat)
Lineage: Eukaryota; Metazoa; Chordata; Mammalia; Rodentia; Bathyergidae
Description: lncRNA (ENSHGLG00100046754.1)
Source: RNAcentral
CCUUUGCAAGUUGUUCUGUGAGCGCAAAAUGGAAGAAGCUCUGGUGAACACUGCCUGUGCUGGGAUAAAUCACCAGGAUAUUAAUGUUCAGGGUUAGGAAAUGCCCUGGCCCUGAAGCAUCCAGGAGUGGGAGAGGCUGUGUGGCCAAGCCACGUGUUCUGAGUCUGUCGGAGGAACACCUUUGCACGUCAGCAGGAAGCUGGCUUCCAGGACUUGGCUGGAACACUGCAGACUCAUUCAGAGAAUAAAGAAAAUCCAUCUGCCCACAAGGCCCCAUGUGAGUAGUGGGAAGCCACCUCAGGUACCCAGAAUUGGAGGCGGAGGACAGCAGGACCAGGAGAGGCGGAGCCAAGAUGGCCUGAGAACCUUGUUAGUAGGGACUCAACACUAGGCAGAUCCCAGAGGUGCCUUAACAAUGGCUUCAGGGUCUGCCAUGCCCUGCAGGUCUGGAUGAAAGUGAUAAGCAUAUAGUUGGUAAUGACUGUGAAGUCAGACUUGGAUUUGAAAUUGUCUUUAGGUUUUUUUCUUUUCUUGGUACGAGGAAUUGAACUUUGGACCUUGCGCUUUUGAGGCAGGCACCAGAACCACUGAGCUAAACCCCUGGCCCUCAGACUUGGAUUUGAAUCUGCUCUACACACAUGGCUCACCUAGAGCCUUAUCCUGGCACCAACCCCUUCCUGUCUCAGCUUCCUGGGAAUGACCAGCCUUCCUUUCCAGUAAAGGAAAAGACACUGGAACACAGGAACUGGGUGAGUUGUAAUUGUGUCUUGCUUUGGAUCAUAAAGAAGUGAGAAUGUUGUGCCUGAGAUGCACUGACUUCAUGCUUGCUAACAGGACAUUGGUCAUGACCGUGAAAGAGGCCCAGUGGCUGAUGUAACCCACUGCAUCUUGUGUCAUGCUAAGUCAUUCUCUCCUGUGGGCACCUUGGCUUCCAGGAGCUACAAAUCUGAUCGACAGAUAUUUUGUGACAAGACUCAAAGCCCCCCACCCCCCGCCCCGCCCCGCCCCAGGCAGCAGCAAC